UACAGAGGUCUCAAGCGUUGUUCGGAUUCAUUGGGCGUAAAGGGUGCGUAGGCGGCGCGGUAAGUUGGGUGUGAAAUCUCGGAGCUUAACUCCGAAACUGCAUUCGAUACUGCGGUGCUUGAGGACUGGAGAGGAGACUGGAAUUCAUGGUGUAGCAGUGAAAUGCGUAGAGAUCAUGAGGAAGACCAGUGGCGAAGGCGGGUCUCUGGACAGUUCCUGACACUGAGACACGAAGGCCAGGGGAGCAAACGGG
Molecule: ribosomal RNA, 253 nt
Filed under: uncultured bacterium
Lineage: Bacteria
Description: partial 16S ribosomal RNA
Rfam family: Bacterial small subunit ribosomal RNA
Source: RNAcentral